GUAAGAUGGCCGUCACGUGAAACCGAG
Molecule: non-coding RNA, 27 nt
Filed under: Rattus norvegicus (Norway rat)
Lineage: Eukaryota; Metazoa; Chordata; Mammalia; Rodentia; Muridae
Source: RNAcentral